ACCGGUUUCCAACCGGUGAAAUCUACAGAGAGGCCGAAGAUGGCAGUAAUCCAUAUAUAUUGAAUCGCAUCUAACAUGUGUUGUAGUAACCACAGCAACCUUGUAGUAACCACAGCAACCUCCAGGUCCCGCUGAAUUUCCAAGGUUGAGGUUUCCUGGCCAUCUAGCUCUGUGGCCCUUUUAAAACACAAGUCACUAACACUUACUUGCUCAAAUGAGUAUUCCAUAAGAAAUUCUAAUGUGUAACCCUGAAAACCUCUUUCCUGAAAGAAACACACCCACAAGGUUUAAGUUAUGCUGGUUCUUAAUUUGCAUAUACAUGCUAAAGGAGCUAACUCAACAUCAGAGGAUAAAGAUCUAGAGAUUAAGCUCUUAUACCAUUCUAUGAAGCAAAAGAAAAAUAAAAUUUAUGCACUUAAUACGAAACUACACAAAGAAAUGACAACCCCAAACAGACGGAUAAAAGGGCAAUAAACUGGGUAUGCUUAUGCAUGAUCAAAAGGCAAGGUUACGAAAAUAUUUAAUUUUGGAGAAAGAGAGAAGAAAUUAAGGUGACUUUUUGAAGGAAGAUUACCUCAUAAUUUCUUAUUUUCCAUGCAAACACAUUUCUGCUUUCUUUAACCUUUUCCUUAUCUUCCCCUCCUUUUGCUGGUUUCAGAAAAGCAAUCCUCAUUUAUAUAAAUGGAGAUGAAUGUGAAGAAAAGUAGGGCUUUCACUGA
Molecule: unclassified non-coding RNA, 719 nt
Filed under: Hevea brasiliensis (rubber tree)
Lineage: Eukaryota; Viridiplantae; Streptophyta; Magnoliopsida; Malpighiales; Euphorbiaceae
Source: RNAcentral